AUGGCUCAGAUUGAACGCUGGCGGCAGGCCUAACACAUGCAAGUCGAGCGGAUGACGGGAGCUUGCUCCUUGAUUCAGCGGCGGACGGGUGAGUAAUGCCUAGGAAUCUGCCUGGUAGUGGGGGACAACGUUUCGAAAGGAACGCUAAUACCGCAUACGUCCUACGGGAGAAAGCAGGGGACCUUCGGGCCUUGCGCUAUCAGAUGAGCCUAGGUCGGAUUAGCUAGUUGGUGGGGUAAUGGCUCACCAAGGCGACGAUCCGUAACUGGUCUGAGAGGAUGAUCAGUCACACUGGAACUGAGACACGGUCCAGACUCCUACGGGAGGCAGCAGUGGGGAAUAUUGGACAAUGGGCGAAAGCCUGAUCCAGCCAUGCCGCGUGUGUGAAGAAGGUCUUCGGAUUGUAAAGCACUUUAAGUUGGGAGGAAGGGCAGUAAGUUAAUACCUUGCUGUUUUGACGUUACCGACAGAAUAAGCACCGGCUAACUCUGUGCCAGCAGCCGCGGUAAUACAGAGGGUGCAAGCGUUAAUCGGAAUUACUGGGCGUAAAGCGCGCGUAGGUGGUUUGUUAAGUUGGAUGUGAAAGCCCCGGGCUCAACCUGGGAACUGCAUCCAAAACUGGCAAGCUAGAGUACGGUAGAGGGUGGUGGAAUUUCCUGUGUAGCGGUGAAAUGCGUAGAUAUAGGAAGGAACACCAGUGGCGAAGGCGACCACCUGGACUGAUACUGACA
RNAcentral lists this ribosomal RNA (731 nucleotides) under Pseudomonas sp. 120516_NH_C2_D8. Its description in RNAcentral is "bacterial SSU rRNA". It matches the Rfam family "Bacterial small subunit ribosomal RNA", at positions 19 to 745 of the family's 1533-position model. The record is from RNAcentral. Lineage: Bacteria; Pseudomonadati; Pseudomonadota; Gammaproteobacteria; Pseudomonadales; Pseudomonadaceae.